GUAGGGAAUAUUGGGCAAUGGUCGGAAGACUGACCCAGCCAUGCCGCGUGCAGGAAGACGGCCCUCUGGGUUGUAAACUGCUUUUAUCUGGGAAGAAAAAGGCCAUGCGUGGCAAAUUGCCGGUACCAGAUGAAUAAGCAUCGGCUAACUCCGUGCCAGCAGCCGCGGUAAUACGGAGGGUGCGAGCGUUGUCCGGAUUUAUUGGGUUUAAAGGGUGCGUAGGCGGCUGAUUAAGUCAGCGAUGAAAGACUUCGGCUUAACCGGGGCAGUGCCGUUGAUACUGGUUGGCUUGAGUGUCGGAGGGGUACAUGGAAUUGAUGGUGUAGCGGUGAAAUGCAUAGAUACCAUCAGGAACACCGAUAGCGAAGGCAUUGUACUGGCCGACAACUGACGCUGAUGCACGAAAGUGUGGGGAUCGAACAGGAUUAGAAACCCGUGUAGUCC
RNAcentral lists this ribosomal RNA (444 nucleotides) under uncultured bacterium. RNAcentral's name for it is "partial 16S ribosomal RNA". It matches the Rfam family "Bacterial small subunit ribosomal RNA", at positions 354 to 796 of the family's 1533-position model. The record is from RNAcentral.